Cucumis sativus (cucumber) is the source of this 1853-nucleotide RNA transcript. RefSeq lists it as uncharacterized. Lineage: Eukaryota; Viridiplantae; Streptophyta; Magnoliopsida; Cucurbitales; Cucurbitaceae. The transcript is spliced from 4 exons. The record is from RefSeq and is a predicted model, not a curated record.
CGCUCCUUUUGGACACUAUCUCUUGAACCACUCCUCCGGUUUUUCACCUUCAUAUUUAGGCUAAAACCCCAAAACUCCCUCCAGUUUUCCCUCUCUUUCUCUGAUCUUCAUAACCCAUAUUCCCAAUCACUCCAUCUUCGCUUCCUCUUCUCUUCUGCUUUCCUCUAUGUCGAGUUCUCGACCUCCUAACUCCUCUGGACACCUUCCUCAUCAGAUCACGCACUCUCUUAAACGCCAACUCCCUUUAUCUUCUAUGAAACCACCAUUUGCAUCUCCUGGGGACUAUCACCGCUUCGCUCCCGACUCUCGACUCGCCGAUCAAGAACCUGAUGCUAUCGUACUCAAAUCUCCACAAUUGAAGCGGAAGAGUGAGGUAGCAGAUUAUGAAGCCGAGUCAACUGAUAGAGCAAUUGGUCCUAGAUUCGUGAGGUAGUUAACCGUCCCCAUCAAACACCUGUAUCUGUCAAAGGAGGAAAGGGAGGCAAAUCAAGGCUUACAAAAUACAGUAGAUCAGGGCCACAGACUCCCAUUUCAAAUGUUGGUUCAUCUUCUACAAACAAUCUCACUCCAGCUGGUCCAUGCCGUUACGAUAGUUCUCUUAGUAGCUUGUUACUCCUGAAGACUUUGUUGUAGCUGUCAUAUAUUUCCUACUAUUGUAUGUUCCUAAUUUUAGUGGUUUUCGUCUAGGUUUCUUGACAAAGAAGUUCAUUAAUCUGAUUAAACAAGCAGAAGAUGGUAUUCUUGAUCUAAAUAAAGCAGCUGACACGUUGGAGGUUUCUGUGUUUCUAGAACAUUACAGACCUCCAUUGUGAAGUUCAAGAAGCUGACAUUUAUUUUUGCUUUAAUAGGUACAAAAAAGACGAAUAUAUGAUUUAACAAAUGCCCUCAAGGGAAUUGUUCUCACAGGAAAGAAGCUUAAGAACAGAAUUCAGUGGAAACUCCCUAUCAUGCACUAGUAGAAGGAAGAAGGGAAUAAUUGAAGCACGUGCUAAAGAAGAGAGUUAGUUAGUCUGUUAGUUAAAGAGGCAGUUAAUAUUGUUAGUAUAUUGUUAGUAUAAAUAAAUGAUAUGUUAGGAGGGAUAGGCUUGUGUGCACCUUUGAGAGAUAAGGUAAUAGAGGAGUAGUGGUAUCCGAAUUGAGAUCUUCUCAAUUUGACAGUUUCAUUCUAUUGUUUGUAAGAGAUUGUUACUUAAUACUAUCAAUAAAGCAUUACCAAUGAAUCCAAGUUCGGGUCCCAUCAUAUUGGUAUUAGAGCUUGUUCAUUCUAGGCAAACUAUGUAAGAUGGUGAAACAAGUGAAAGAGAGGUUUAAAAUCAUAGAACAAGAAAUCUCGAGCAUGAAGAUCGGCAACAGCUAUUGGAACUCGAAACCAAGGUGACGGAACAUAUGGAGAAGAUCGAUUUUAGAAUGAAAAGAAUAUACAACAACUGAUUCUGAAAUAUAUUGAAAGUAUGAUGAAAGAGCAAUCUCCAUCGACACCAAAAUCGGAAGGAUCAACGAGUAAAAUGAAAGCGAAGAUGUUCGAGUUAAGCGAAGAACCGAAAUUGAACGAUAAAGAGGAUGGCGAGAAGAACAAUGGCCGGAAUAAAUUCAAGAAGGUAGAAAUGUCGGUAUUCAAUGGCGAAGACCCGAAUUCCUGGUUGUUUCAUGCUGAUAGAUAUUUCCAUAUUCACAAACCAAAUUCUUGGACCAACGUUGAACUAGUUUAGAGCAUAGGAAGAGCCGGAAAAUUUCACAGGUUGGUCGAAUUUAAAAGAAAGAUUGCUGGUGUGAUUUCGAUCGGUGAGAGAAGGCUUUAUAUGCUGUCAAUUUUUUAGAAUCAUGCAAGAAACUACAGUGGAAGAGUAUUGAAA